This is a long non-coding RNA of Talpa occidentalis (Iberian mole), 449 nucleotides long. RefSeq lists it as uncharacterized. The record is from RefSeq and is a predicted model, not a curated record. Lineage: Eukaryota; Metazoa; Chordata; Mammalia; Eulipotyphla; Talpidae. The transcript is spliced from 3 exons.
CUCACAGGGGGUUAGGUGGAAUGAACAUUGCCAGCCACAUGACUAGCUAAGAGUUUCCUGAUGGCUUUUACUGAAUGGCACCUUACAAUUAUAAUAACCUCCAAAGACCAACUGAGUUGUCAUGUUGAUUUGAAAGGGAAAAUGUCUACGGGAAACUCACCAGGGCUCAGAAAUUCUGAAAUGGGUUAAAUAACUUGUUGAAGCACACCAACAGUCCAUUUGGCAAAGGAAAAACAUCUGAACUGAGAACCUGAAUUUUUCUGUGUAUUGGCCUUCAUAGUGUGGGAAGGAAUAAGCAUAUCUGAAGGAGGAGAAGGAGAACUGUAAGGGUUAAACUCCCACAGUUCAUUAUACCACAGGAUCAUCUUGAGUGCUCAAAGAAGUAGGUGCAACUUGGGAGCCAUGAGUUGUUCUCCCAGGCAACAGUUAACAACAUUUAUCACUAAAUU